AUCUGACUAGCUCAGUCAGUAAAGCAAGUGACUCUUGAUCUCAGGAUUGUGGGUUCAAGCCCCACAUUGGGUG
Molecule: transfer RNA, 73 nt
Filed under: Mustela putorius furo (domestic ferret)
Lineage: Eukaryota; Metazoa; Chordata; Mammalia; Carnivora; Mustelidae
Rfam family: tRNA
About the family: Transfer RNA (tRNA) molecules are approximately 80 nucleotides in length. Their secondary structure includes four short double-helical elements and three loops (D, anti-codon, and T loops).
Source: Rfam by way of RNAcentral